This 490-nucleotide ribosomal RNA is filed under the name uncultured bacterium. RNAcentral describes it as "partial 16S ribosomal RNA". It matches the Rfam family "Bacterial small subunit ribosomal RNA", at positions 29 to 507 of the family's 1533-position model. The record is from RNAcentral.
AGUGAACGCUGGCGGUAGGCCUAACACAUGCAAGUCGAACGGCAGCACAGGAGAGCUUGCUCUCUGGGUGGCGAGUGGCGGACGGGUGAGGAAUACAUCGGAAUCUGCCCAGUCGUGGGGGAUAACGUAGGGAAACUUACGCUAAUACCGCAUACGACCUUCGGGGGAAAGAGGGGGAUCGCAAGACCUCUCGCGAUUGGAUGAGCCGAUGUCGGAUUAGCUAGUUGGCGGGGUAAUGGCCCACCAAGGCGACGAUCCGUAGCUGGUCUGAGAGGAUGAUCAGCCACACUGGAACUGAGACACGGUCCAGACUCCUACGGGAGGCAGCAGUGGGGAAUAUUGGACAAUGGGCGCAAGCCUGAUCCAGCCAUACCGCGUGGGUGAAGAAGGCCUUCGGGUUGUAAAGCCCUUUUGUUGGGAAAGAAAUCUUUCAGGCUAAUACCCUGGGAGGAUGACGGUACCCAAAGAAUAAGCACCGGCUAACUUCGUG